CAGUAGCCACGGUAAUACGGAGGGUGCAAGCGUUAAUCGGAAUUACUGGGCGUAAAGCGCACGCAGGCGGUCUGUCAAGUCAGAUGUGAAAUCCCCGGGCUUAACCUGGGAACUGCAUUUGAAACUGGCAGGCUGGAGUCUUGUAGAGGGGGGUAGAAUUCCAGGUGUAGCGGUGAAAUGCGUAGAGAUCUGGAGGAAUACCGGUGGCGAAGGCGGCCCCCUGGACAAAGACUGACGCUCAGGUGCGAAAGCGUGGGGAGCAAACAGGAUUAGAUACCCCUGUAGUCCCUGUCUCUUAUAC
This 301-nucleotide ribosomal RNA is filed under the name uncultured bacterium. RNAcentral describes it as "partial 16S ribosomal RNA". It matches the Rfam family "Bacterial small subunit ribosomal RNA", at positions 509 to 807 of the family's 1533-position model. The record is from RNAcentral.